GUAGCUAUAGCUCAGUGGUAGAGCGCCCAUGAUCAAAGCGGGAGGUCCAGAGAUCGAUUCUCGUUGCUACU
Molecule: non-coding RNA, 71 nt
Organism: Cymbomonas tetramitiformis
Lineage: Eukaryota; Viridiplantae; Chlorophyta; Pyramimonadophyceae; Pyramimonadales; Pyramimonadaceae
Source: the annotation of a GenBank genome assembly